RNAcentral lists this transfer RNA (89 nucleotides) under Dreissena polymorpha. It matches the Rfam family "tRNA". Rfam says of the family: Transfer RNA (tRNA) molecules are approximately 80 nucleotides in length. Their secondary structure includes four short double-helical elements and three loops (D, anti-codon, and T loops). Lineage: Eukaryota; Metazoa; Mollusca; Bivalvia; Myida; Dreissenidae. The record is from Rfam by way of RNAcentral.
GCCGGAAUAGCUCAGUUGGGAGAGCAUUAAACUGAAGUUGUUUGCGCAACAAUUAUAUAAAGGCAUCGGUUCAAUCCCGGGUUCCGGCA